GUGGGGAAUAUUGGGCAAUGGGCGAAAGCCUGACCCAGCAACGCCGCGUGAAGGAAGAAGGUUUUCGGAUUGUAAACUUCUGUCCUCAGGGAAGAAGGAAGUGACGGUACCUGAGGAGGAAGCCCCGGCUAACUACGUGCCAGCAGCCGCGGUAAUACGUAGGGGGCGAGCGUUGUCCGGAAUGACUGGGCGUAAAGGGCGCGUAGACGGCUGUCUAAGUCUGGAGUGAAAGUCCUGUUUUCAAGGCGGGAAUUGCUUUGGAGACUGGAUGGCUUGAGUGCGGAAGAGGUAAGUGGAAUUCCCAGUGUAGCGGUGAAAUGCGUAGAGAUUGGGAGGAACACCAGUGGCGAAGGCGACUUACUGGGCCGUAACUGACGUUGAAGCGCGAAAGCGUGGGGAGCGAACAGGAUUAGAUACCCGAGUAGUCC
RNAcentral lists this ribosomal RNA (428 nucleotides) under uncultured bacterium. RNAcentral's name for it is "partial 16S ribosomal RNA". It matches the Rfam family "Bacterial small subunit ribosomal RNA", at positions 354 to 796 of the family's 1533-position model. The record is from RNAcentral.